GCCGACGUGGUGGAAUUGGUAGACACACCGUCUUGAGGGGGCGGCGGCGCAAGCCGUGUGAGUUCGAGUCUCACCGUCGGCACCA
RNAcentral lists this transfer RNA (85 nucleotides) under Gammaproteobacteria bacterium. RNAcentral describes it as "tRNA-Leu". It matches the Rfam family "tRNA". Rfam says of the family: Transfer RNA (tRNA) molecules are approximately 80 nucleotides in length. Their secondary structure includes four short double-helical elements and three loops (D, anti-codon, and T loops). The record is from RNAcentral. Lineage: Bacteria; Pseudomonadati; Pseudomonadota; Gammaproteobacteria. RNAcentral also lists the same sequence under 3 other names.